CCUACGGGAGGCAGCAGUGAGGAAUAUUGGUCAAUGGACGAGAGUCUGAACCAGCCAAGCAGCGUGAAGGAUGACUGCACUCUGGGUUGUAAACUUCUUUUAUAUGGGAAUAAAAUGUUGCACGUGUGGGAUUUUGUAUGUACCAUAUGAAUAAGGAUCGGCUAACUCCGUGCCAGCAGCCGCGGUAAUACGGAGGAUCCGAGCGUUAUCCGGAUUUAUUGGGUUUAAAGGGAGCGUAGGUGGGUUGUUAAGUCAGUUGUGAAAGUUUGCGGCUCAACCGUGACAUUGCAGUUGAAACUGGCAGGCUUGAGUACAGUAGAGGUGGGCGGAAUUCGUGGUGUAGCGGUGAAAUGCGUAGAUAUCACGAAGAACUCCGAUUGCGAAGGCAGCUCACUGGACUGCAACUGACGCUGAGGCUCGAAAGUGUGGGUAUCAAACAGGAUUAGAUACCCUUGUAGUC
RNAcentral lists this ribosomal RNA (460 nucleotides) under uncultured bacterium. RNAcentral describes it as "partial 16S ribosomal RNA". It matches the Rfam family "Bacterial small subunit ribosomal RNA", at positions 338 to 795 of the family's 1533-position model. The record is from RNAcentral.